Molecule: transfer RNA, 126 nt
Filed under: Fusarium culmorum
Lineage: Eukaryota; Fungi; Ascomycota; Sordariomycetes; Hypocreales; Nectriaceae
Also listed under: 1 other name
Description: tRNA-iMet
Source: RNAcentral
AGCAGCUUGGCGCAGUGGAAGCGCGGUACGUUUACACAACUACUCUUCAAGUUACGCACAAAUGACUAACAUGUCACAGCCGGGCUCAUAACCCGGAGGUCACUGGAUCGAAACCAGUAGCUGCUA